This 481-nucleotide ribosomal RNA is filed under the name uncultured bacterium. Its description in RNAcentral is "bacterial SSU rRNA". It matches the Rfam family "Bacterial small subunit ribosomal RNA", at positions 28 to 507 of the family's 1533-position model. The record is from RNAcentral.
GAUGAACGCUGGCGGCGUGCUUAACACAUGCAAGUCGAACGAAGCACUUUAAUCGAUUUCUUCGGAUUGAAAUUUUAGUGACUGAGUGGCGGACGGGUGAGUAACGCGUGGGUAACCUGCCUCACACAGGGGGAUAACAGUUGGAAACGGCUGCUAAUACCGCAUAAGCGCACAGUACCGCAUGGUACAGUGUGAAAAACUCCGGUGGUGUAAGAUGGACCCGCGUCUGAUUAGCUAGUUGGCAGGGCAACGGCCUACCAAGGCGACGAUCAGUAGCCGACCUGAGAGGGUGACCGGCCACAUUGGGACUGAGACACGGCCCAAACUCCUACGGGAGGCAGCAGUGGGGAAUAUUGCACAAUGGGGGAAACCCUGAUGCAGCGACGCCGCGUGAGCGAAGAAGUAUUUCGGUAUGUAAAGCUCUAUCAGCAGGGAAGAAAAAAUGACGGUACCUGACUAAGAAGCCCCGGCUAACUACGUG